UGACCCAUGCAAGUCGAACGGUAGCACAGAGAGCUUGCUCUCGGGUGACGAGUGGCGGACGGGUGAGUAAUGUCUGGGAAACUGCCUGAUGGAGGGGGAUAACUACUGGAAACGGUAGCUAAUACCGCAUAAUGUCGCAAGACCAAAGAGGGGGACCUUCGGGCCUCUUGCCAUCAGAUGUGCCCAGAUGGGAUUAGCUAGUAGGUGGGGUAACGGCUCACCUAGGCGACGAUCCCUAGCUGGUCUGAGAGGAUGACCAGCCACACUGGAACUGAGACACGGUCCAGACUCCUACGGGAGGCAGCAGUGGGGAAUAUUGCACAAUGGGCGCAAGCCUGAUGCAGCCAUGCCGCGUGUAUGAAGAAGGCCUUCGGGUUGUAAAGUACUUUCAGCGGGGAGGAAGGUGUUGUGGUUAAUAACCGCAGCAAUUGACGUUACCCGCAGAAGAAGCACCGGCUAACUCCGUGCCAGCAGCCGCGGUAAUACGGAGGGUGCAAGCGUUAAUCGGAAUUACUGGGCGUAAAGCGCACGCAGGCGGUCUGUCAAGUCGGAUGUGAAAUCCCCGGGCUCAACCUGGGAACUGCAUUCGAAACUGGCAGGCUGGAGUCUUGUAUAGGGGGGUAGAAUUCCAGGUGUAGCGGUGAAAUGCGUAGAGAUCUGGAGGAAUACCGGUGGCGAAGGCGGCCCCCUGGACAAAGGACUGACGCUCA
RNAcentral lists this ribosomal RNA (710 nucleotides) under Enterobacter cloacae. RNAcentral's name for it is "bacterial SSU rRNA". It matches the Rfam family "Bacterial small subunit ribosomal RNA", at positions 49 to 749 of the family's 1533-position model. Lineage: Bacteria; Pseudomonadati; Pseudomonadota; Gammaproteobacteria; Enterobacterales; Enterobacteriaceae. The record is from RNAcentral.